UAGAGUUUGAUCCUGGCUCAGAUUGAACGCUGGCGGCAUGCUUUACACAUGCAAGUCGAACGGCAGCGCGGGGCAACCUGGCGGCGAGUGGCGAACGGGUGAGUAAUAUAUCGGAACGUACCCAGAAGUGGGGGAUAACGUAGCGAAAGUUACGCUAAUACCGCAUACGAUCUACGGAUGAAAGUGGGGGACCUUCGGGCCUCAUGCUUUUGGAGCGGCCGAUAUCUGAUUAGCUAGUUGGUGAGGUAAAGGCUCACCAAGGCGACGAUCAGUAGCUGGUCUGAGAGGACGACCAGCCACACUGGGACUGAGACACGGCCCAGACUCCUACGGGAGGCAGCAGUGGGGAAUUUUGGACAAUGGGCGCAAGCCUGAUCCAGCAAUGCCGCGUGAGUGAAGAAGGCCUUCGGGUUGUAAAGCUCUUUUGUCAGGGAAGAAACGGUCUAGGCUAAUAUCCUGGGCUAAUGACGGUACCUGAAGAAUAAGCACCGGCUAACUACGUGCCAGCAGCCGCGGUAAUACGUAGGGUGCAAGCGUUAAUCGGAAUUACUGGGCGUAAAGCGUGCGCAGGCGGUUUUGUAAGUCUGUCGUGAAAGCCCCGGGCUUAACCUGGGAAUUGCGAUGGAGACUGCAAGGCUUGAAUCUGGCAGAGGGGGGUAGAAUUCCACGUGUAGCAGUGAAAUGCGUAGAGAUGUGGA
RNAcentral lists this ribosomal RNA (698 nucleotides) under bacterium enrichment culture clone ADE_70. Its description in RNAcentral is "bacterial SSU rRNA". It matches the Rfam family "Bacterial small subunit ribosomal RNA", at positions 1 to 702 of the family's 1533-position model. The record is from RNAcentral.